CCUUUUGUAUAAUGGGUCAGCGACUUAUAUUCUGUAGCAAGGUUAACCGAAUAGGGGAGCCGAAGGGAAACCGAGUCUUAACUGGGCGUUAAGUUGCAGGGUAUAGACCCGAAACCCGGUGAUCUAGCCAUGGGCAGGUUGAAGGUUGGGUAACACUAACUGGAGGACCGAACCGACUAAUGUUGAAAAAUUAGCGGAUGACUUGUGGCUGGGGGUGAAAGGCCAAUCAAACCGGGAGAUAGCUGGUUCUCCCCGAAAGCUAUUUAGGUAGCGCCUCGUGAAUUCAUCUCCGGGGGUAGAGCACUGUUUCGGCAAGGGGGUCAUCCCGACUUACCAACCCGAUGCAAACUGCGAAUACCGGAGAAUGUUAUCACGGGAGACACACGGCGGGUGCUAACGUCCGUCGUGAAGAGGGAAACAACCCAGACCGCCAGCUAAGGUCCCAAAGUCAUGGUUAAGUGGGAAACGAUGUGGGAAGGCCCAGACAGCCAGGAUGUUGGCUUAGAAGCAGCCAUCAUUUAAAGAAAGCGUAAUAGCUCACUGGUCGAGUCGGCCUGCGCGGAAGAUGUAACGGGGCUAAACCAUGCACCGAAGCUGCGGCAGCGACACUGUGUGUUGUUGGGUAGGGGAGCGUUCUGUAAGCCUGUGAAGGUGUGCUGUGAGGCAUGCUGGAGGUAUCAGAAGUGCGAAUGCUGACAUAAGUAACGAUAAAGCGGGUGAAAAGCCCGCUCGCCGGAAGACCAAGGGUUCCUGUCCAACGUUAAUCGGGGCAGGGUGAGUCGACCCCUAAGGCGAGGCCGAAAGGCGUAGUCGAUGGGAAACAGGUUAAUAUUCCUGUACUUGGUGUUACUGCGAAGGGGGGACGGAGAAGGCUAUGUUGGCCGGGCGACGGUUGUCCCGGUUUAAGCGUGUAGGCUGGUUUUCCAGGCAAAUCCGGAAAAUCAAGGCUGAGGCGUGAUGACGAGGCACUACGGUGCUGAAGCAACAAAUGCCCUGCUUCCAGGAAAAGCCUCUAAGCAUCAGGUAACAUCAAAUCGUACCCCAAACCGACACAGGUGGUCAGGUAGAGAAUACCAAGGCGCUUGAGAGAACUCGGGUGAAGGAACUAGGCAAAAUGGUGCCGUAACUUCGGGAGAAGGCACGCUGAUAUGUAGGUGAAGUCCCUCGCGGAUGGAGCUGAAAUCAGUCGAAGAUACCAGCUGGCUGCAACUGUUUAUUAAAAACACAGCACUGUGCAAACACGAAAGUGGACGUAUACGGUGUGACGCCUGCCCGGUGCCGGAAGGUUAAUUGAUGGGGUCAGCGCAAGCGAAGCUCUUGAUCGAAGCCCCGGUAAACGGCGGCCGUAACUAUAACGGUCCUAAGGUAGCGAAAUUCCUUGUCGGGUAAGUUCCGACCUGCACGAAUGGCGUAAUGAUGGCCAGGCUGUCUCCACCCGAGACUCAGUGAAAUUGAACUCGCUGUGAAGAUGCAGUGUACCCGCGGCAAGACGGAAAGACCCCGUGAACCUUUACUAUAGCUUGACACUGAACAUUGAGCCUUGAUGUGUAGGAUAGGUGGGAGGCUUUGAAGUGUGGACGCCAGUCUGCAUGGAGCCGACCUUGAAAUACCACCCUUUAAUGUUUGAUGUUCUAACGUGGACCCGUGAUCCGGGUUGCGGACAGUGUCUGGUGGGUAGUUUGACUGGGGCGGUCUCCUCCUAAAGAGUAACGGAGGAGCACGAAGGUUGGCUAAUCCUGGUCGGACAUCAGGAGGUUAGUGCAAUGGCAUAAGCCAGCUUGACUGCGAGCGUGACGGCGCGAGCAGGUGCGAAAGCAGGUCAUAGUGAUCCGGUGGUUCUGAAUGGAAGGGCCAUCGCUCAACGGAUAAAAGGUACUCCGGGGAUAACAGGCUGAUACCGCCCAAGAGUUCAUAUCGACGGCGGUGUUUGGCACCUCGAUGUCGGCUCAUCACAUCCUGGGGCUGAAGUAGGUCCCAAGGGUAUGGCUGUUCGCCAUUUAAAGUGGUACGCGAGCUGGGUUUAGAACGUCGUGAGACAGUUCGGUCCCUAUCUGCCGUGGGCGCUGGAGAACUGAGGGGGGCUGCUCCUAGUACGAGAGGACCGGAGUGGACGCAUCACUGGUGUUCGGGUUGUCAUGCCAAUGGCACUGCCCGGUAGCUAAAUGCGGAAGAGAUAAGUGCUGAAAGCAUCUAAGCACGAAACUUGCCCCGAGAUGAGUUCUCCCUGACCCUUUAAGGGUCCUGAAGGAACGUUGAAGACGACGACGUUGAUAGGCCGGGUGUGUAAGCGCAGCGAUGCGUUGAGCUAACCGGUACUAAUGAACCGUGAGGCUUAACCUU
Molecule: ribosomal RNA, 2340 nt
Filed under: Escherichia coli
Lineage: Bacteria; Pseudomonadati; Pseudomonadota; Gammaproteobacteria; Enterobacterales; Enterobacteriaceae
Also listed under: 1 other name
Description: partial 23S ribosomal RNA
Rfam family: Bacterial large subunit ribosomal RNA
Source: RNAcentral